RNAcentral lists this ribosomal RNA (497 nucleotides) under uncultured bacterium. RNAcentral describes it as "partial 16S ribosomal RNA". It matches the Rfam family "Bacterial small subunit ribosomal RNA", at positions 28 to 507 of the family's 1533-position model. The record is from RNAcentral.
GAUGAACGCUGGCGGCGUGCCUAAUACAUGCAAGUCGAGCGAACAGACGAGGAGCUUGCUCCUCUGACGUUAGCGGCGGACGGGUGAGUAACACGUGGAUAACCUACCUAUAAGACUGGGAUAACUUCGGGAAACCGGAGCUAAUACCGGAUAAUAUAUUGAACCGCAUGGUUCAAUAGUGAAAGACGGUUUUGCUGUCACUUAUAGAUGGAUCCUCGCCGCAUUAGCUAGUUGGUAAGGUAACGGCUUACCAAGGCAACGAUGCGUAGCCGACCUGAGAGGGUGAUCGGCCACACUGGAAAUGAGACACGGUCCAGACUCCUAUGGGAGGCAGCAGUAGGGAAUCUUCCGCAAUGGGCGAAAGCCUGACGGAGCAACGCCGCGUGAGUGAUGAAGGUCUUCGGAUCGUAAAACUCUGUUAUUAGGGAAGAACAAAUGUGUAAGUAACUAUGCACGUCUUGACGGUACCUAAUCAGAAAGCCGCGGCUAACUACGUG